UUGUGAUGUCAUAUGGCUUGGUCUCAGAAAGAUUAAAGCCAUGCAUGUUUAAGUAUAAAGCAAUAUGCCGUUGAGACUGCGAAUGGCUCAUUAAAUCAAGUUAAUCGUUUAUUUGAUAAUACCUUACUACUUGGAUAACCGUGGUAAUUCUAGAGCUAAUACAUGCUGAAAAUCCCGACUUCGGAAGGGAUGUGUUUAUUAGAUAAAAAACCAAUGCCCUUCGGGGCUUUUUGGUGAUUCAUGAUAACUUUACGGAUCGCAUAGCCUUGCGCUGGCGACGGUUCAUUCAAAUUUCUGCCCUAUCAACUUUCGAUGGUAAGGUAUUGGCUUACCAUGGUUUCAACGGGUAACGGGGAAUUAGGGUUCGAUUCCGGAGAGGGAGCCUGAGAAACGGCUACCACAUCCAAGGAAGGCAGCAGGCGCGCAAAUUACCCAAUCCCGACACGGGGAGGUAGUGACAAUAAAUACUGAUACAGGGCUCUUUUGGGUCUUGUAAUUGGAAUGAGUACAAUUUAAACCUCUUAACGAGGAACAAUUGGAGGGCAAGUCUGGUGCCAGCAGCCGCGGUAAUUCCAGCUCCAAUAGCGUAUAUUAAAGUUGUUGCAGUUAAAAAGCUCGUAGUUGAAACUUGGGCCUGGCUGGCGGGUCCGCCUCACCGCGUGCACUCGUCCGGCCGGGCCUUCCUUCUGAAGAACCUCAUGCCCUUCACUGGGCGUGCUGGGGAAUCAGGACUUUUACUUUGAAAAAAUUAGAGUGUUCAAAGCAGGCCUUUGCUCGAAUACGUUAGCAUGGAAUAAUAAAAUAGGGCGUGCGUUUCUAUUUUGUUGGUUUCUAGAGACGCCGCAAUGAUUAACAGGAACAGUCGGGGGCAUCAGUAUUCAGUUGUCAGAGGUGAAAUUCUUGGAUUUACUGAAGACUAACUACUGCGAAAGCAUUUGCCAAGGAUGUUUUCAUUAAUCAGUGAACGAAAGUUAGGGGAUCGAAGACGAUCAGAUACCGUCGUAGUCUUAACCGUAAACUAUGCCGACUAGGGAUCGGGCGAUGUUCUUUUUCUGACUCGCUCGGCACCUUACGAGAAAUGUAGUCAUAGUAGGGUCCACAACUCAGGGGGGA
RNAcentral lists this ribosomal RNA (1113 nucleotides) under Alternaria alternata. Its description in RNAcentral is "SSU rRNA". It matches the Rfam family "Eukaryotic small subunit ribosomal RNA", at positions 1 to 1122 of the family's 1831-position model. The record is from RNAcentral. Lineage: Eukaryota; Fungi; Ascomycota; Dothideomycetes; Pleosporales; Pleosporaceae.